AAUCAACGCUGGCGGCGUGCCUAACACAUGCAAGUCGAACGCGAAAGGGGCUUCGGCCCUGAGUAGAGUGGCGAACGGGUGAGUAACACGUGGGUGACCUACCCUUGAGUGGGGGAUAACGUUCCGAAAGGAACGCUAAUACCGCAUGACGUUCUGGGUUUGAAGACCUGGAAACCAAAGCCGGGGACCGCAAGGCCUGGCGCUCGAGGAGGGGCCCGCGUCCGAUUAGCUAGUUGGCGGGGUAACGCCCACCAAGGCACGAUCGGUAGCCGGCCUGAGAGGGCGGACGGCCACACUGGGACUGAGACACGGCCCAGACUCCUACGGGAGGCAGCAGUGGGGAAUUGUUCGCAAUGGGCGCAAGCCUGACGACGCAACGCCGCGU
This 385-nucleotide ribosomal RNA is filed under the name uncultured bacterium. RNAcentral's name for it is "bacterial SSU rRNA". It matches the Rfam family "Bacterial small subunit ribosomal RNA", at positions 28 to 402 of the family's 1533-position model. The record is from RNAcentral.